UGGGGAAUAUUGGACAAUGGGCGCAAGCCUGAUCCAGCCAUGCCGCGUGAGUGAUGAAGGCCCUAGGGUAGUAAAGCUCUUUCACCGGUGAAGAUAAUGACGGUAACCGGAGAAGAAGCCCCGGCUAACUUCGAGCCAGCAGCCGCGGUAAUACGAAGGGGGCUAGCGUUGUUCGGAUUUACUGGGCGUAAAGCGCACGUAGGCGGACUUUUAAGUCAGGGGUGAAAUCCCGGGGCUCAACCCCGGAACUGCCUUUGAUACUGGAAGUCUUGAGUAUGGUAGAGGUGAGUGGAAUUCCGAGUGUAGAUGUGAAAUUCGUAGAUAUUCGGAGGAACACCAGUGGCGAAGGCGGCUCACUGGACCAUUACUGACGCUGAGGUGCGAAAGCGUGGGGAGCAAACAGG
Molecule: ribosomal RNA, 404 nt
Filed under: Actinomycetes bacterium
Lineage: Bacteria; Bacillati; Actinomycetota; Actinomycetes
Description: Actinobacteria bacterium partial 16S ribosomal RNA
Rfam family: Bacterial small subunit ribosomal RNA
Source: RNAcentral